GAAGCGAACGCGGUGAACUGAAACAUCUAAGUAACCGCAGGAAAAGAAAUCAACCGAGAUUCCCAAAGUAGUGGCGAGCGAAAUGGGAUGAGCCUUGCACUCUUUAUUUGUAUUGUUAGCCGAACGCUCUGGAAAGUGCGGCCAUAGCAGGUGAUAGCCCUGUAGGCGAAAACAGUAUGAAAGAACUAGGUGUGCGACAAGUAGGGCGGGACACGUGAAAUCCUGUCUGAAGAUGGGGGGACCAUCCUCCAAGGCUAAAUACUCGUGAUCGACCGAUAGUGAACCAGUACCGUGAGGGAAAGGCGAAAAGAACCCCGGGAGGGGAGUGAAAUAGAUCCUGAAACCGCAUGCAUACAAACAGUCGGAGCCUCGCAAGGGGUGACGGCGUACCUUUUGUAUAAUGGGUCAGCGACUUACGUUCAGUAGCAAGCUUAACCGUAUAGGGCAGGCGUAGCGAAAGCGAGUCCGAAUAGGGCGUUCAGUUGCUGGGCGUAGACCCGAAACCAGGUGAUCUAUCCAUGGCCAGGAUGAAGGUGCGGUAACACGUACUGGAGGUCCGAACCCACUAACGUUGAAAAGUUAGGGGAUGAGCUGUGGAUAGGGGUGAAAGGCUAAACAAACCUGGAAAUAGCUGGUUCUCUCCGAAAACUAUUUAGGUAGUGCCUCGUGUCUCACCUUCGGGGGUAGAGCACUGUCAUGGUUGGGGGGUCUAUUGCAGAUUACCCCGCCAUAGCAAACUCCGAAUACCGAAGAGUGCAAUCACGGGAGACAGACAUCGGGUGCUAACGUCCGGUGUCAAGAGGGAAACAACCCAGACCGCCAGCUAAGGUCCCCAAAUAUAGCUAAGUGGGAAACGAAGUGGGAAGGCUAAAACAGUCAGGAGGUUGGCUUAGAAGCAGCCACCCUUUAAAGAAAGCGUAAUAGCUCACUGAUCGAGUCGUCCUGCGCGGAAGAUGUAACGGGGCUAAGCUAUAUACCGAAGCUGCGGAUGCGUGCUUGCACGCAUGGUAGGAGAGCGUUCCGUAAGCCUGCGAAGGUGCCUUGUAAAGGGUGCUGGAGGUAUCGGAAGUGCGAAUGCUGACAUGAGUAGCGAUAAAGGGGGUGAAAGGCCCCCUCGCCGUAAGCCCAAGGUUUCCUACGCAACGUUCAUCGGCGUAGGGUGAGUCGGCCCCUAAGGCGAGGCAGAAAUGCGUAGCUGAUGGGAAGCAGGUCAAUAUUCCUGCACCGUCGUUAGAUGCGAUGGGGGGACGGAUCGCGGAAGGUUGUCCGGGUGUUGGAAGUCCCGGUCGCUGCAUUGGAGAAGGCGCUUAGGCAAAUCCGGGCGCAGGAUUCAAGGGUGUGGCGCGAGCUCCCUCGGGAGCGAAGCAAUUGGAAGUGGUUCCAAGAAAAGCCUCUAAGCUUCAGUCUAACGAUGACCGUACCGCAAACCGACACAGGUGGGCGAGAUGAGUAUUCUAAGGCGCUUGAGAGAACUCGGGAGAAGGAACUCGGCAAAUUGGUACCGUAACUUCGGGAUAAGGUACGCCCUUGUAGCUUGACUGGCCUGCGCCAGGAGGGUGAAGGGGUUGCAAUAAACUGGUGGCUGCGACUGUUUAAUAAAAACACAGCACUCUGCAAACACGAAAGUGGACGUAUAGGGUGUGACGCCUGCCCGGUGCCGGAAGAUUAAAUGAUGGGGUGCAAGCUCUUGAUUGAAGUCCCGGUAAACGGCGGCCGUAACUAUAACGGUCCUAAGGUAGCGAAAUUCCUUGUCGGGUAAGUUCCGACCUGCACGAAUGGCGUAACGAUGGCCACACUGUCUCCUCCCGAGACUCAGCGAAGUUGAAGUGUUUGUGAUGAUGCAAUCUACCCGCGGCUAGACGGAAAGACCCCAUGAACCUUUACUGUAGCUUUGCAUUGGACUUUGAACCGAUCUGUGUAGGAUAGGUGGGAGGCUAUGAAACCGGAACGCUAGUUUCGGUGGAGCCGUCCUUGAAAUACCACCCUGGUUUGUUUGAGGUUCUAACCUUGGCCCGUGAUCCGGGUCGGGGACAGUGCAUGGUAGGCAGUUUGACUGGGGCGGUCUCCUCCCAAAGCGUAACGGAGGAGUACGAAGGUACGCUAGGUACGGUCGGAAAUCGUGCUGAUAGUGCAAUGGCAUAAGCGUGCUUAACUGCGAGACCGACAAGUCGAGCAGGUGCGAAAGCAGGUCAUAGUGAUCCGGUGGUUCUGUAUGGAAGGGCCAUCGCUCAACGGAUAAAAGGUACUCUGGGGAUAACAGGCUGAUACCGCCCAAGAGUUCAUAUCGACGGCGGUGUUUGGCACCUCGAUGUCGGCUCAUCUCAUCCUGGGGCUGUAGCCGGUCCCAAGGGUAUGGCUGUUCGCCAUUUAAAGAGGUACGUGAGCUGGGUUUAAAACGUCGUGAGACAGUUUGGUCCCUAUCUGCCGUGGGCGUUGGAUAUUUGAAGGGGGCUGCUCCUAGUACGAGAGGACCGGAGUGGACGAACCUCUGGUGUACCGGUUGUCACGCCAGUGGCAUCGCCGGGUAGCUAUGUUCGGAAGAGAUAACCGCUGAAAGCAUCUAAGCGGGAAACUCGCCUUAAGAUGAGAUAUCCCUGGGGACUAGAUCCCCUUGAAGGGUCGUUCGAGACCAGGACGUUGAUAGGUCGGGUGUGUAAGCGCAGUAAUGCGUUCAGCUAACCGAUACUAAUUGCCCGUAAGGCUUGAUCCUAUAACA
RNAcentral lists this ribosomal RNA (2716 nucleotides) under Burkholderia territorii. Its description in RNAcentral is "bacterial LSU rRNA". It matches the Rfam family "Bacterial large subunit ribosomal RNA". Lineage: Bacteria; Pseudomonadati; Pseudomonadota; Betaproteobacteria; Burkholderiales; Burkholderiaceae. The record is from RNAcentral.